Molecule: ribosomal RNA, 449 nt
Filed under: uncultured bacterium
Lineage: Bacteria
Description: bacterial SSU rRNA
Rfam family: Bacterial small subunit ribosomal RNA
Source: RNAcentral
CGCCAGACUCCUACGGGAGGCAGCAGUGGGGGAUAUUGCACAAUGGGGGAAACCCUGAUGCAGCGACGCCGCGUGAGUGAAGAAGUAUUUCGGUAUGUAAAGCUCUAUCAGCAGGGAAGAAAAAAGACGGUACCUGACUAAGAAGCCCCGGCUAACUACGUGCCAGCAGCCGCGGUAAUACGUAGGGGGCAAGCGUUAUCCGGAUUUACUGGGUGUAAAGGGCGUGUAGGCGGGACUGCAAGUCAGAUGUGAAAACCACGGGCUCAACCUGUGGCCUGCAUUUGAAACUGUAGUUCUUGAGUACUGGAGAGGCAGACGGAAUUCCUAGUGUAGCGGUGAAAUGCGUAGAUAUUAGGAGGAACACCAGUGGCGAAGGCGGCUUACUGGACGGCAACUGACGCUGAGGCUCGAAAGCGUGGGGAGCAAACAGGAUUAGAUACCCCCGUAUA